GGCGAGGUGGCGAAAUGGGAACGCUGCGGUCUGCAAAACCGCCAGGAGCCGGUUCGAUCCCGGCCGGCACCU
Molecule: transfer RNA, 72 nt
Filed under: Bradyrhizobium erythrophlei
Lineage: Bacteria; Pseudomonadati; Pseudomonadota; Alphaproteobacteria; Hyphomicrobiales; Nitrobacteraceae
Description: tRNA_Cys_GCA
Rfam family: tRNA
About the family: Transfer RNA (tRNA) molecules are approximately 80 nucleotides in length. Their secondary structure includes four short double-helical elements and three loops (D, anti-codon, and T loops). Further hydrogen bonds mediate the characteristic L-shaped molecular structure. tRNAs have two regions of fundamental functional importance: the anti-codon, which is responsible for specific mRNA codon recognition, and the 3' end, to which the tRNAs corresponding amino acid is attached (by aminoacyl-tRNA synthetases). tRNAs cope with the degeneracy of the genetic code in two manners: having more than one tRNA (with a specific anti-codon) for a particular amino acid; and 'wobble' base-pairing, i.e. permitting non-standard base-pairing at the 3rd anti-codon position.
Source: RNAcentral